RNAcentral lists this ribosomal RNA (837 nucleotides) under Aspergillus sydowii. RNAcentral describes it as "partial 28S ribosomal RNA". It matches the Rfam family "Eukaryotic large subunit ribosomal RNA", at positions 76 to 930 of the family's 3401-position model. The record is from RNAcentral. Lineage: Eukaryota; Fungi; Ascomycota; Eurotiomycetes; Eurotiales; Aspergillaceae.
UGCCUCAGUAACGGCGAGUGAAGCGGCAAGAGCUCAAAUUUGAAAUCUGGCCCCUCCGGGGUCCGAGUUGUAAUUUGCAGAGGAUGCUUCGGGUGCGGCCCCUGUCUAAGUGCCCUGGAACGGGCCGUCAGAGAGGGUGAGAAUCCCGUCUUGGGCAGGGUGCCCGUGCCCGUGUGAAGCUCCUUCGACGAGUCGAGUUGUUUGGGAAUGCAGCUCAAAAUGGGUGGUAAAUUUCAUCUAAAGCUAAAUACCGGCCGGAGACCGAUAGCGCACAAGUAGAGUGAUCGAAAGAUGAAAAGCACUUUGAAAAGAGAGUUAAACAGCACGUGAAAUUGUUGAAAGGGAAGCGCUUGCAACCAGACUCGGCCUCGGGGUUCAGCCAGCAUUCGUGCUGGUGUACUUCCCCGGGGCCGGGCCAGCGUCGGUUUGGGCGGCCGGUCAAAGGCCCCAGGAAUGUAUCGUCCUCCGGGACGUCUUAUAGCCUGGGGUGCAAUGCGGCCAGCCUGGACCGAGGAACGCGCUUCGGCACGGACGCUGGCGUAAUGGUCGCAAACGACCCGUCUUGAAACACGGACCAAGGAGUCUAACAUCUACGCGAGUGUUCGGGUGUCAAACCCGUACGCGCAGUGAAAGCGAACGGAGGUGGGAGCCCCCCCGGGGCGCACCAUCGACCGAUCCUGAUGUCUUCGGAUGGAUUUGAGUACGAGCGUAGCUGUGGGGACCCGAAAGAUGGUGAACUAUGCCUGAAUAGGGUGAAGCCAGAGGAAACUCUGGUGGAGGCUCGCAGCGGUUCUGACGUGCAAAUCGAUCGUCAAAUUUGGGUAUAGGGGCGAAAGA